UCCGGCUUAUCACCGGCAGUCCCUUUAGAGUGCCCAACUGAAUGGUGGCAACUAAAGGCGAGGGUUGCGCUCGUUGCGGGACUUAACCCAACAUCUCACGACACGAGCUGACGACAGCCAUGCAGCACCUGUGCACUGGCCCCGAAGGGAGGCGCUAUUUCUAGCGCUUUCCAGUGCAUGUCAAGCCUUGGUGAGGUUCUUCGCGUUGCGUCGAAUUAAACCACAUGCUCCGCUGCUUGUGCGGGCCCCCGUCAAUUCCUUUGAGUUACAACCUUGCGGCCGUACUCCCCAGGCGGUCAACUUCACGCGUUAGCUUCGUUACUGAGUCAGUGAAGACCCAACAACCAGUUGACAUCGUUUAGGGCGUGGACUAC
This 374-nucleotide unclassified non-coding RNA is filed under the name uncultured Pseudomonadota bacterium. RNAcentral describes it as "uncultured proteobacterium contains 16S-23S intergenic spacer region". The record is from RNAcentral. Lineage: Bacteria; Pseudomonadati; Pseudomonadota.